AACGAACGCUGGCGGCAUGCCUAACACAUGCAAGUCGAACGAGACCUUCGGGUCUAGUGGCGCACGGGUGCGUAACGCGUGGGAACCUGCCCUUAGGUUCGGAAUAACUCCCCGAAAGGGGUGCUAAUACCGGAUAAUGUCUUCGGACCAAAGAUUUAUCGCCUUUGGAUGGGCCCGCGUUGGAUUAGCUAGUUGGUAGGGCAAAAGCCUACCAAGGCGACGAUCCAUAGCUGGUCUGAGAGGAUGAUCAGCCACACUGGGACUGAGACACGGCCCAGACUCCUACGGGAGGCAGCAGUGGGGAAUAUUGGACAAUGGGCGAAGGCCUGAUCCAGCAAUGCCGCGUGAGUGAUGAAGGCCUUAGGGUUGUAAAGCUCUUUUACCCGGGAUGAUAAUGACAGUACCGGGAGAAUAAGCUCCGGCUAACUCCGUG
This 433-nucleotide ribosomal RNA is filed under the name uncultured bacterium. RNAcentral describes it as "partial 16S ribosomal RNA". It matches the Rfam family "Bacterial small subunit ribosomal RNA", at positions 29 to 507 of the family's 1533-position model. The record is from RNAcentral.